Molecule: ribosomal RNA, 163 nt
Filed under: uncultured bacterium
Lineage: Bacteria
Description: partial 16S rRNA
Rfam family: Bacterial small subunit ribosomal RNA
Source: RNAcentral
UAGGGAAUCUUCCACAAUGGACGCAAGUCUGAUGGAGCAACGCCGCGUGAGUGAAGAAGGUCUUCGGAUCGUAAAACUCUGUUGUUAGAGAAGAACACGAGUGGAGUAACUGUUCAUUCGAUGACGGUAUCUAACCAGCAAGUCACGGCUAACUACGUGCCAA